Molecule: ribosomal RNA, 445 nt
Filed under: uncultured bacterium
Lineage: Bacteria
Description: partial 16S ribosomal RNA
Rfam family: Bacterial small subunit ribosomal RNA
Source: RNAcentral
GUGAGGAAUAUUGGGCAAUGGAGGCAACUCUGACCCAGCCAUGCCGCGUGCAGGAUGACGGCCCUCUGGGUUGUAAACUGCUUUUAUACGGGAAGAAAAAAUACUACGUGUAGUAUACUGACGGUACCGUAAGAAUAAGGAUCGGCUAACUCCGUGCCAGCAGCCGCGGUAAUACGGAGGAUCCAAGCGUUGUCCGGAUUUAUUGGGUUUAAAGGGUGCGUAGGCGGAUCUUUAAGUCAGUGGUGAAAGCCUGCAGCUUAACUGUAGAAUUGCCAUUGAAACUGAAGAGCUUGAAUGUGGUUAAAGUAGGCGGAAUGUAUCAUGUAGCGGUGAAAUGCUUAGAUAUGAUACAGAACACCGAUAGCGAAGGCAGCUUGCUGAACCAUUAUUGACGCUGAGGCACGAAAGCGUGGGGAGCGAACAGGAUUAGAUACCCUGGUAGUCC